GACUCCUACGGGAGGCAGCAGUGGGGAAUAUUGCACAAUGGGCGGAAGCCUGAUGCAGCAACGCCGCGUGCGGGAUGACGGCCUUCGGGUUGUAAACCGCUUUCAGCAGGGGCGAAGCUUGUGGUGACGGUACCUGCAGAAGAAGCACCGGCUAACUACGUGCCAGCAGCCGCGGUGAUACGUAGGGUGCGAGCGUUGUCCGGAUUUAUUGGGCGUAAAGAGCUCGUAGGUGGUUGAUUGCGUCGGAAGUGAAAACUUGGGGCUUAACCCUGAGCGUGCUUUCGAUACGGGUUGACUUGAGGAAGGUAGGGGAGAAUGGAAUUCCUGGUGGAGCGGUGGAAUGCGCAGAUAUCAGGAGGAACACCAGUGGCGAAGGCGGUUCUCUGGACCUUUCCUGACGCUGAGGAGCGAAAGCGUGGGGAGCGAACAGGCUUAGAUACCCUGGUAGUCCACGCUGUAAACGGUGGGUACUAGGUGUGGGGUCCAUUCCACGGAUUCCGUGCCGUAGCUAACGCAUUAAGUACCCCGCCUGGGGAGUACGGCCGCAAGGCUAAAACUCAAAGGAAUUGACGGGGGCCCGCACAAG
This 586-nucleotide ribosomal RNA is filed under the name uncultured bacterium. RNAcentral describes it as "bacterial SSU rRNA". It matches the Rfam family "Bacterial small subunit ribosomal RNA", at positions 334 to 929 of the family's 1533-position model. The record is from RNAcentral.